Molecule: ribosomal RNA, 254 nt
Filed under: Salmonella enterica subsp. enterica serovar Paratyphi B
Lineage: Bacteria; Pseudomonadati; Pseudomonadota; Gammaproteobacteria; Enterobacterales; Enterobacteriaceae
Also listed under: 3 other names
Description: partial 23S ribosomal RNA
Rfam family: Bacterial large subunit ribosomal RNA
Source: RNAcentral
GGGUUGUGAGGUUAAGCGACUAAGCGUACACGGUGGAUGCCCUGGCAGUCAGAGGCGAUGAAGGGCGUGCUAAUCUGCGAUAAGCGCCGGUAAGGUGAUAUGAACCGUUAUAACCGGCGAUACCCGAAUGGGGAAACCCAGUGUGACUCGUCACACUAUCAUUAACUGAAUCCAUAGGUUAAUGAGGCGAACCGGGGGAACUGAAACAUCUAAGUACCCCGAGGAAAAGAAAUCAACCGAGAUUCCCCCAGUAG